GAUGAACGCUGGCGGCGUGCUUAACACAUGCAAGUCGAACGGAGAUAGUUAAAGGAAGUUUUCGGACGGAAUUUAAAAUCUUAGUGGCGGACGGGUGAGUAACGCGUGGGUAACCUGCCUCAUACAGGGGGAUAACACUUAGAAAUAGGUGCUAAACCGCAUAAGCGCACGGAGUCGCAUGACUCAGUGUGAAAAACUCCGGUGGUAUGAGAUGGACCCGCGUCUGAUUAGCUAGUUGGUGAGGUAACGGCCCACCAAGGCGACGAUCAGUAGCCGGCCUGAGAGGGUGAACAGCCACAAGGGGACUGAGACACGGCCCUU
This 321-nucleotide ribosomal RNA is filed under the name uncultured bacterium. Its description in RNAcentral is "bacterial SSU rRNA". It matches the Rfam family "Bacterial small subunit ribosomal RNA", at positions 28 to 334 of the family's 1533-position model. The record is from RNAcentral.